RNAcentral lists this RNase P RNA (172 nucleotides) under Microbacterium sp. RNAcentral's name for it is "RNase P RNA component class A". It matches the Rfam family "Bacterial RNase P class A", at positions 44 to 222 of the family's 367-position model. From Rfam's summary of the family: Ribonuclease P (RNase P) is a ubiquitous endoribonuclease, found in archaea, bacteria and eukarya as well as chloroplasts and mitochondria. The record is from RNAcentral. Lineage: Bacteria; Bacillati; Actinomycetota; Actinomycetes; Micrococcales; Microbacteriaceae.
AGGAACGUCCGGGCUCCGCAGGGCAGGGCGGUGGGUAACACCCACCCGGAGCAAUCCGCGAGACAGUGCCACAGAGAGAAGACCGCCCCGCAAGGGGUAAGGGUGAAAGGGUGGUGUAAGAGACCACCGGGGGCCGUGGUGACACGGCCCGCCAGGUAAACCUCGCCCGCGG